UGGAGCAGGAAAGAUGAAUUUAGACCACUUUUGCACUCUCUCGCUCAUGGAGCUGCAAGUCCCCAUUAGCUGCAGCACCCAUCCUUCUUCCACACCGUCUCAGCCAGAGGCGACUCAGAUUGGAGCCUCUACAGCAGCUCAGCUCCCUGUGCUGACUCACCUGCACUGGGAUCCCUGAAGUGCCUGAGUCACUCGCUCCACAGCUCCUUCACAUGGGAACUGAGGCACAGUAGGGGAACUCCAGCCCAGGUCAGGAUCUGCCUUGGGGUUUCCUCUGCUUCGGAUCUGCACUUGAACAGGAUAUGGCCUUCGGUAUCUGGCAUCGGGUGGAAAAUGCAGCAGAUGCUUGUUGCCCUGAAUAGGAAAACCAGAGCUGGAGCUGAGGUGGUGCUUCCAGCAUGGAGCAGAGUGCACAGGAGGCAAAUGUGCAGGGGACUUCAGCUUAGAUUCAACAAGAUACAUCUUAUGCUUAACCUUAAGCAAAAUUGUUACUUCAGCAAGACUAUUCACAGGCUCCAAGAUGAACAUAAACCAGUUUUGCUGGGGAACACAAAAUCACAUCAUAAAAUCCUCCGGGUAACAAAAGCUCACAGCUCCGUCUGAAGCAGGGAAGAUGAGGAGGUUACAGGAGGACACAGAGAAGCCAAAGGAGGUCACUGGAUGAGUCAUUCGCACUCAGAGUGAAGACUUCGGAUGAUCACAGAUUACCAACCACGCUCUCCAGUUCAAAGAUACACACAACCCAAUGAACUCCUGCUGAAUAUCCCCGCCCUGUGUUGCUUUUCCUUGCUAUCAAUAUGAGUCUGACAUGAUAUGGUGUUAAAUGAAAUCAGGAUAACAGCAGCCAUGGGAGGUCAAUAAAUUUGUGUGGUAUAUAAUCAAGUAUGUGCCUCGCACAGGUAGAUUCUCGCUUUAUGAGAUCGUGGGAGUUAACUUUCAUUUAGCAAAAAUAAGUAUUCAGCCAACUGAGGCCCUGCUCUUUUACAUACAAAUAGGCUCUUCUGUUCAUCUGUAUUCUAUAAAGGCUUGUUAUUCUUCCGUGUUUAUCAGAUCUGCGAUAUUGAGGAGAACAGAAAACGUGUGUGAUAUCCGCCAGCUGGAUUCCAUCUGUCUUUUCUCUGUGGAGAUGGAGUUUCAAAGGCUACAUCCUAUCUACCCUCACACCCUCUCCUGACAUGAGAGGCUAAGUGUAAAGUUUGGCCAAAGUGAUGGAAAAACAAUAUCUCUUUUGUACAUCACAACAAUUUUCCUACCUACACAAAAGUGGCAUUCUUCUUGU
Molecule: long non-coding RNA, 1279 nt
Organism: Cuculus canorus (common cuckoo)
Lineage: Eukaryota; Metazoa; Chordata; Aves; Cuculiformes; Cuculidae
Exons: 4
Source: RefSeq, a predicted model, not a curated record